GGGGGUCAUCGCUUGGUUUUACUGCAAACUAGGGAAGUUUUCAGUCCAAUUGCUUUAUUUUGUUUCUUAUUAUUUAUUUAUUUUAUUUUUAUUUGCAUUAUAGUGUUUUCUGACAUUGGGGACAAUGUCCAGUUUAAGUUUGGGGGUAAAGAGUAUAAAAAUGACCAAAUUGAAAUUUUUUUUUUUGUACCUUCAACUACGAACGAGUUUCAUUUGUUUCCAUGUUGUUGCUUUUUGUUUUCUUAAUUAGUUUUGUUUUCUUUAAAAAAAAAAAAAAAAAAAAUCGGAAAAUUUAAAAAUCCAAAAAUAUUGUCUUGUUUUCCUUAUUAGAUUUUUGUUAGUUUCCCGACCCAAUGAUAUAAUUGGAUCAAAUUUGAAUCAUGAUUAUCAAGAACUUAGUUAACAUGUGUUUUGUGAAAUUCCUAAUUCUCUUGUUAGUUUUGUACAUGUUUGAUCAUCUUUGAAAAACCAAAUGCACAUAGCCUUGUUGAUGUGAAACUAAAGCAUGACUUAAAGCUUCAUAUGUGAAUUUAGUGACCAUAUACAUCCUAUGUGAGUUUUUGAGCCUAUUGAAAGUGUGUGCAUUUUUCAUACACUCCUAUUUUUUUUUAUGUGUGAUGAACUUAUGUGAGAUACAUCUCUAGAACUUGCGUAACGAUCUUUUCGAAAUGUUUGUCAUUGACUGCAUGAACUUGGAAAUGAUAGAGGCAUUAGGUUUACCACUAUGGCCCAAAUAACCACGUUUCCCAAAGAAAAAUGAUAUCAUUAGAUUGCCAAUUUGAGCCGUGUAUGUUGAGCCUUUUUAUUUCUUAUCACCAGAUAUGUCUACCCCUA
This 834-nucleotide long non-coding RNA is filed under the name Malus domestica (apple). RNAcentral describes it as "long non-coding RNA (MDOM_LNC006772)". The record is from RNAcentral. Lineage: Eukaryota; Viridiplantae; Streptophyta; Magnoliopsida; Rosales; Rosaceae.